GAAUGAAACCGUGAUGAGCACUCAAUGUUUUAGCGAGAUAAUGACUCCCAGGUUUCACUCAAGAUCUCACCAUGGUUGAUGUAUGUUAAACUGUGGUUAGAUUGCUUUUGGACCACAGAUAGAGGAAACGGCUACUCUAGCCAGCAAGGCUUCCGUACCCAUUUGUCCUCUGGUGCAUUCAAAUGUUAAAGGAGUCAUUGUCGUCUUAUGCACGCGUUUUCUCAUGAUGUGGUGUCUUGCGACAAAUCGGAGGAGCGUCUGCUUUAGGUCACAGAGUGAGUCCCUUGUAUUUGCUAUAAAAGGAACUUUAAGGUAGAGAGUUGUUUAAGGUGAGUAUUGGUCAUACAGAGAGUGAGAGAGAAAAACUUGUAUUUGCUUAAACUUAUUCAUAGUUUUCUCUAGGUUCUAGGAACAGACAGAGUGAGCAUCAAGUGCUGGUGAAGGGCAUUGGUGCGGGUCACUUGUUGUUCUUAUUGUAAUCUCUCUGUGUGUGUUUGAAUCUAGUGGAUUCCGAGUAUAAUACUCGGCCCAGACUUAGCUACCCUUUGGGAGUGAACUGGGUUACCAAAGUUCUCGUGUUUGCUCUGUUUUCUUUCUGUUUCAAAGUCUUUAAAACACCACAAAGCAAAGCUCUGUUCUUUCCUCUGUUUCUGACACGCACAAACUCGAUUCUGUUUCUCUGUUCGUGGUUUGUUUGUUUUUUCUCUCAAGGAAAGUCGACACCUUUGAGGAAAGAAAUCCUUACAAAGUGGUAUCAGAGCAUUAGGUUCGUUGUUCUCUGGUUCUGUGAAGUUUCAAAGACACUGAACCAUGUCAUCGGCUCGAAUAGAGAUUGAAAAGUUUGAUGGAAGGGGAGACUAUACUAUGUGGAAAGAGAAACUAAUGGCGCAUCUGGAUAUCCUAGGUCUGAGCUCUGCGUUAAAGGAAGUUGAUGCUUUGGUGGAGAAAACGUCGGGUUUGACGCUGACUGAAGAAGAAGAGAAAGAAGAGAUAACAAAGCAAGAAGCUUUGGAGGAAAAAAGGAGAAAAGCACGGAGCACCGUUGUGCUAAGUGUUACUGAUAGAGUUCUGAGGAAGAUCAAGAAACAACCAACCGCUGCGGCUAUGAUAAGCGCAUUAGACAAGCUGUAUAUGUCUAAAGCGCUACCUAACAGGAUCUAUCUGAAGCAGAAGCUAUACAGCUUCAAGAUGUCUGAAAAUCUCAGCAUAGAAGGUAAUAUCGAUGAAUUUCUACAUAUUAUAGCUGAUCUAGAGAACACAAAUGUUAUUGUUUCGGAUGAAGAUCAAGCUAUAUUGUUGUUGAUGUCAUUACCUAAGCCGUUUGAUCAACUGAGGGAUACCCUAAAGUAUGGUUCUGGAAGGACCACUUUAACGUUAGAUGAAGUCAUUAAUGCAACUUACUCAAAGGAGCUUGAGUUUGGAUCUAACAAGAAGAGUAUCAAGGGUCAAGCUGAAGUUCUCUAUGCAAAAGAGAAAACUGAGGUUAGAGGAAGAACUGAACAGAGAGACAAGAAUAACACCAAAGGACAGAGAUCCAGAUCUAAGUCAAGAUCUAAGAAAGGGUGUUGGAUUUGUGGAGAGGAAGGGCACUUCAAGGGCUCUUGUCCUAACAAGAAUAAGUCUCAGACUCAGUCAAAAGGCAACAAUGCUAGCAAAGGAGAAUCGUCAAAUGGUAAAAGUCAUUUAGCUGAAGCAAAUGGCCUAUAUGUGUCAGAAGCACUGUCCUCUACUGACAUUCAUCUCGAAGACGAAUGGGUCAUGGAUACUGGCUGCAGUUAUCACAUGACACACAAGAGGGAAUGGUUUGAUGAUCUAGAUGAGAAUGCUGGCGGUACUGUGAGAAUGGGCAACAAGACUGUUGCUAGAGUAAAAGGAGUCGGUUCUAUCAGAAUGAUAAAUGAAGCAGGCACAAGUGUUACUCUUACAAAUGUAAGAUAUGUCCCAGAGAUGGAUAGAAACCUUUUGUCCUUGGGAACUUUCGAAAAGGCUGGUUGUAGUUUUGAGUCAGAAAAUGGGAUCUUAAGUAUCAAGUCCGCAGGAAGUGUGUUUCUGACUGGUAGGAGAUGUGACACACUGUAUUUGCUGCAAUGGAGACCUGCAAAUGGAGAAUCACUUGCAGUAACAAGGAGACAAGAUGAUACUGUUCUGUGGCAUAGGAGAUUGGGACAUAUGAGUCAGAAAAACAUGAGUCUACUGCUGAAAAAGGGGCUUCUUGACAAGAAGAAGGUCUCAACUUUUGAGACAUGUGAAGACUGCAUUUAUGGUAGAGCCAAGAGGAUUGGUUUCACUUUGGCUCAACAUGAUACAAAAGAGAAGCUUGAAUAUGUUCACUCUGACCUAUGGGGAGCUCCAUCAGUGCCAUUUUCUCUUGGUAAGUGUCAAUAUUUUAUAUCAUUUAUUGAUGAUUACACAAGAAAAGUCUGGGUCUAUUUUCUAAAAACUAAAGAUGAGGCAUUUGAGAAGUUUGUUGAUUGGAUUAACUUUGUGGAGAAUCAAUGUGAUAAGAGAGUUAAAACUCUUAGAACAGACAAUGGGCUUGAGUUUUGUAACAGGUUAUUUGAUGAGUUCUGCAUGUCUAAGGGGAUUCAAAGGCAUAGAACGUGUGCAUAUACUCCACAACAAAACGGUGUUGCAGAGCGUAUGAACAGAACUCUGAUGGAGAAAGUAAGAAGCAUGAUGUGUGACUCUGGUCUCCCAAAGAAAUUUUGGGCAGAAGCUACACAUACUGCAGCUAUUAUCAUCAAUAAGACUCCAUCAUCGGCUCUGAACUUUGAGGUGCCUGAUAAGAAAUGGUUUGGUAAAGCACCAGUCUACAGUUAUUUAAGAAGAUUCGGGUGUAUCGCCUUUGUUCAUACUGAUGAUGGUAAACUCAGCCCUAGAGCAAAGAAGGGAGUUCUUAUAGGUUAUCAAACUGGGGUGAAGGGCUACAAGAUCUGGUUACUUGAAGAAAGGAAGUGUGUUGUGAGUAGAAAUGUGAUUUUUCAAGAAAAUGCUGCUUACAAAGAUUUGAUGCAGAAGAAGGAAGCAGUGUAUGAUGAAGAAGAUGCCACUCCUAACUCCUAUCUUGAUCUUGAUCUUGAUAUUGAUGAGGGUUCUACCUCAGGUGGAGAUAACCUGAAUGAGUCUGUUGUGCAGUCACCUGCAAGAUCAAGUCCUGCAACUCAUGCAAUUCGUAAUGAUGAUGUUGGUAUUCAGACUGACUUAAGUCAGUCACCUCCAAGUUACCAUCUAGCAAGGGAUAGAACAAGAAGAGAGAUCAGAGCACCAAGACGCUUUGAUGAUGAAGACUAUUUUGCUGAAGCUCUUUACACCACAGAAGAUGGUGGAGAAAUUGAACCAGAAAAUUACAGGGAAGCUAAAAGAGAUGCAAAUUGGCUCAAAUGGAAGCUUGCUAUGGAUGAGGAAAUGAAUUCUCAGACCAAGAAUCAUACUUGGACUGUAGUUAAAAGGCCAUUGAAUCAAAAGGUUAUUGGCAGCUGAUGGAUUUUCAAGUUCAAAAUGGGAAUCCCAGGAGUUGAGGAACCAAGAUUCAAAGCAAGGCUUGUAGCCAAGGGAUAUGCUCAAAGAGAAGGUGUGGACUAUCAUGAGAUCUUUGCUCCAGUAGUCAAGCAUGUCUCUAUAAGGAUCUUACUGUCAAUUGUUGCUCAAGAGGACUUGGAGUUAGAGCAACUAGAUGUUAAAACAGCUUUCCUACAUGGUGAGCUCAAAGAGAAGAUCUACAUGACACCUCCUGAAGGUUAUGAAUCCAUAUUCAAAGAAGAUGAGGUGUGUCUGCUAAAUAAAUCCCUUUAUGGUCUGAAGCAAGCUCCAAAGCAAUGGAAUGAGAAAUUUGACACAUAUAUGUCAGAGAUCGGAUUUGUGAGAAGUUAUUUUGACAGUUGUGCAUACAUGAAAGAACUUCCUGGUGGUUCAAUGGUUUACUUGCUGCUCUAUGUAGACGAUAUGCUGGUAGCAGCCAAGAAUAAAGAGGAUAUUGUUCAGCUCAAAGAAGACCUUAAUCAGAAGUUUGACAUGAAGGAUUUAGGUGAAGCUAAAAGAAUUCUGGGCAUGGAGAUUGUCAGAAACAGAGGAGAUGGUGUUCUCUGGUUAUCACAAGAAGGCUAUUUGAAUAAGAUUCUUGAAACUUAUUCUAUGACUGAAGCAAAGUCUGCACUAACUCCUCUGGGAGCUCACUUAAAAUUGAGAGCAGCAACAGUUGAGAAACAGGCACAGGAUGAAGACUACAUGAAAUCAAUUCCCUACUCAAAUGCUGUAGGAAGCAUCAUGUACGCAAUGCUAGGUACUCGUCCUGAUCUUGCUUAUCCUGUUGGUAUGAUCAGCCGUUUCAUGACUAAUCCUGUUAAAGAGCACUGGCUUGGAGUCAAGUGGGUCUUAAGAUACAUAAAUGGUACUCAGAAGACUAAGUUGUUCUACCAGAAGAGUUCUGAGUUUAAGAUUGUUGGUUAUUGUGAUGCUGAUCAUGGAGCUGAUCGUGACAAGAGAAGAUCAAUCACUGGACUUGUGUUUACUCUUGGAGGAAACACUAUCAGUUGGAAGUCAGGAUUACAGAGAGUUGUGGCUCUCUCAAGUACUGAAGCUGAAUAUAUGUCACUGACAGAAGCAGUGAAAGAAGCAGUAUGGCUUAAGGGUCUGCUAAAGGAGUUUGGGUAUGAACAAAGGAGUGUUGAGAUUCACUGUGAUUCUCAAAGUGCAAUAGCACUCUCCAAGAAUAAUGUGCAUCAUGAAAGAACAAAGCACAUAGACAUCAGAUAUCACUAUAUCCGGGAUGUGAUUGCAAAUGGUGAUGUUGAUGUGGUCAAGAUUUCUACUGAGAAGAAUCCAGCAGACAUCUUUACCAAGAUCGUGCCUGUAAAUAAGUUUCAGGCGGCCUUGACCUACCUACAGGUCAAGUCUGAGUAAGUAUGCUCAGGGAAUCCGAGUAUGGGAUCCUGCAACUAGAUUUAAAAGGUAUCUUUCUCUUCUCUCUUAGGUUCUGUGAGUUUGUGUGCUACUGUCAUCAAGGUUUCAGGUGGAGAUUUGUGAAGAAUGAAACCGUGAUGAGCACUCAAUGUUUUAGCGAGAUAAUGACUCCCAGGUUUCACUCAAGAUCUCACCAUGGUUGAUGUAUGUUAAACUGUGGUUAGAUUGCUUUUGGACCACAGAUAGAGGAAACGGCUACUCUAGCCAGCAAGGCUUCCGUACCCAUUUGUCCUCUGGUGCAUUCAAAUGUUAAAGGAGUCAUUGUCGUCUUAUGCACGCGUUUUCUCAUGAUGUGGUGUCUUGCGACAAAUCGGAGGAGCGUCUGCUUUAGGUCACAGAGUGAGUCCCUUGUAUUUGCUAUAAAAGGAACUUUAAGGUAGAGAGUUGUUUAAGGUGAGUAUUGGUCAUACAGA
RNAcentral lists this long non-coding RNA (5372 nucleotides) under Arabidopsis lyrata. RNAcentral's name for it is "long non-coding RNA (ALYR_LNC001496)". The record is from RNAcentral. Lineage: Eukaryota; Viridiplantae; Streptophyta; Magnoliopsida; Brassicales; Brassicaceae.